UCCAUUCCUCGCCACACGCUUCGAAUCCUCGGCACAUCUCGUAGCAUCACUAUCUAUAGCCCCACCUGGACUUUUUUCACCUUCAUUCCCGGAUAACUGUCGGUCCCCUCCGUCUUCAGCUUCCUGUCUGCCUAACUUGCCCCGUUUGUUGUAUUUUCCCCCAUGGUUUUAGGUGCAGGACUUGAUAUUGCAGAGAAGAAUGAGCCCCAGGGAUAAAAAGCAAGACAGAACUUGAUCACCUCCAUGUCACUGUGACUGCUCAUGGACACAAUGUGCUCUGUAAAAAGUAUUUAUUGUUGCUUUUAGCAUUUUAGAUUUCUUUCUUUUUUUCUGAACGCUUAAUUUAGUUCAUUUUACUUAUGAAGGCCUAUUUGUUUAUUCUGUUACAGCUUAUUUAUUGUGCUGCUAUAAAUGCUGUGCUUCUAGUUGUUACAUCAGUGACAAUAAAGAACCUUUGAACUUUGAAACUGCAGAGAGUAAAUCACCACAUGUUAGAACAUUGAAUAAAUCUUGAGCACAGUUGAGAA
Amphiprion ocellaris (clown anemonefish) is the source of this 527-nucleotide long non-coding RNA. RefSeq lists it as uncharacterized. Lineage: Eukaryota; Metazoa; Chordata; Actinopteri; Pomacentridae. The record is from RefSeq and is a predicted model, not a curated record. The transcript is spliced from 2 exons.